This 510-nucleotide ribosomal RNA is filed under the name uncultured bacterium. RNAcentral's name for it is "partial 16S ribosomal RNA". It matches the Rfam family "Bacterial small subunit ribosomal RNA", at positions 28 to 507 of the family's 1533-position model. The record is from RNAcentral.
GACGAACGCUGGCGGCGUGCUUAACACAUGCAAGUCGAACGAAGAGCGACGGAAGCUUGCUUCUAUCAAUCUUAGUGGCGAACGGGUGAGUAACGCGUAAUCAACCUGCCCUUCAGAGGGGGACAACAGUUGGAAACGACUGCUAAUACCGCAUACGAUCUAACCUCGGCAUCGAGGAUAGAUGAAAGGUGGCCUCUACAUGUAAGCUAUCACUGAAGGAGGGGAUUGCGUCUGAUUAGCUAGUUGGAGGGGUAACGGCCCACCAAGGCGAUGAUCAGUAGCCGGUCUGAGAGGAUGAACGGCCACAUUGGGACUGAGACACGGCCCAGACUCCUACGGGAGGCAGCAGUGGGGAAUCUUCCGCAAUGGACGAAAGUCUGACGGAGCAACGCCGCGUGAGUGAUGACGGCCUUCGGGUUGUAAAGCUCUGUUAAUCGGGACGAAAGGCCUUCUUGCGAAUAGUGAGAAGGAUUGACGGUACCGGAAUAGAAAGCCACGGCUAGCUACGUG